This is a long non-coding RNA of Dermacentor andersoni, 676 nucleotides long. RefSeq lists it as uncharacterized. The record is from RefSeq and is a predicted model, not a curated record. Lineage: Eukaryota; Metazoa; Arthropoda; Arachnida; Ixodida; Ixodidae.
AGAAGCGCAGCGAGCAGAACCGUGAAAGAGCUCGUCUACGCCGUGUCAAUUCUGCAGCCCGCGCACAAGAAGAUGUUCGUGCAGCCAAGCGCAAGCAGCAGCUGCGUACCGAGGAUCCGGCAGCCUACGAAACUGUUGUUUAAUGAACCAUUGGGAUUAACCCAGUGAUAAACACCGGGCUCGCCCGUUUCAGCUUCGCUAACCAUCUGUACGGAGUGCUUAGGCGGUGCUUUCUUUUCUUUUUUUUUUUGUCCCAGACGAGACAAACUGUCGAUCUGUCGGCUGUAGCUCGGGAUCGAGGUUAUGCUGCAUGCCCGGCUCCACCACGAACGUACGAUGUGCCGGUCAGAACCAAAGCUGUGAAAGCUCAUGGGGAUCCUUUUGUGGCUCAAAUAGUCAUAUCGAAUGCAAUGGCAGAGGAGACAUAUCUAUAUGUCAUUGUGCCUGAAGCCAGCGGUCGUAUGCAGUAGCAUGAAAACUGGGCAUCCGUUUUCUGGUCAUCCGGACGUAUAGGCGGACUCCACUGGUUGCUUCGAUUAUUUCAACUUUCGUUGUCUCAGCACACCUCCACUGGCACACUUGCGAGUUGGCUUUACAGCUAAUAUGAAAGCACUAAAUGGUUAUAUGAAUUUCUUCAUUCAUUUCCUAAGGAACAAUAAAUAGAAAACAGAACGAA